This 253-nucleotide ribosomal RNA is filed under the name uncultured bacterium. RNAcentral describes it as "partial 16S ribosomal RNA". It matches the Rfam family "Bacterial small subunit ribosomal RNA", at positions 524 to 776 of the family's 1533-position model. RNAcentral also lists the same sequence under 2 other names. The record is from RNAcentral.
CACGAACCGUACGAACGUUAUUCGGAAUUACUGGGCUUAAAGGGUUUGUAGGCGGCCUUGUAAGUCAGGUGUGAAAGCCCUCGGCUCAACCGAGGAACAGCGCUUGAUACUGCAAGGCUUGAGGGAGACAGGGGUAAGCGGAACUGAUGGUGGAGCGGUGAAAUGCGUUGAUAUCAUCAGGAACACCGGUGGCGAAAGCGGCUUACUGGGUCUCUUCUGACGCUGAGGAACGAAAGCUAGGGUAGCGAACGGG